CUUACCAAAAAAGACGGAUUAAGAAGGGAUUUAGUUCUCCGUACGGAUUCCUUCUCCUUGACGCGCCUACGCGCCACUUCCACCUCCACGGCAUAACUUGCCAGCUCACCUUUCGCCCCGUCCACCGCCUCAUAUUUCUCUAAUUCACUUUCACGCCGGCGCUGGUUCUUGCAGGUCAUCCGCUUCCGUGGUGGCCGCUAGCACCGCCAAUUCCGUUUCGGUUCCUAACCUUAUCCAUUCACUUUUUCUUGCUUUCCUUUAUUGUUUGUUUCGUGAGAAUUCUUUUGCUAAUUUCACUUCUACGAAUUACCGAGCAAUUUCUAAAAUUUUAAAAUUUGUAUCUGUUUCUUGUUAAUGUUUCGAUGCGUAUUUGUUGUCAACUUAACCGAACGUAGUAAUACCAAUUCCAGAAACUGCUUUAGAAGCAAAACAUGUUAGGGAGAGUUACCUUUUACGCGCGUGAAAUUUCGCAGUCUGAUUCAUUUAUAUCUGAAUUUUCGCUUGUUAAGGUUUCAAAAUCUCCACUGCCCUUGAUUUGCUAUAGUAAGCUACAAGCUCUCCGGUG
Molecule: long non-coding RNA, 565 nt
Filed under: Gossypium barbadense (sea-island cotton)
Lineage: Eukaryota; Viridiplantae; Streptophyta; Magnoliopsida; Malvales; Malvaceae
Description: long non-coding RNA (GBAR_LNC009868)
Source: RNAcentral